CGGCAGGCCUAACACAUGCAAGUCGAGCGGUAGCACAGAGAGCUUGCUCUCGGGUGACGAGCGGCGGACGGGUGAGUAAUGUCUGGGAAACUGCCUGAUGGAGGGGGAUAACUACUGGAAACGGUAGCUAAUACCGCAUAACGUCGCAAGACCAAAGUGGGGGACCUUCGGGCCUCAUGCCAUCAGAUGUGCCCAGAUGGGAUUAGCUGGUAGGUGGGGUAACGGCUCACCUAGGCGACGAUCCCUAGCUGGUCUGAGAGGAUGACCAGCCACACUGGAACUGAGACACGGUCCAGACUCCUACGGGAGGCAGCAGUGGGGAAUAUUGCACAAUGGGCGCAAGCCUGAUGCAGCCAUGCCGCGUGUGUGAAGAAGGCCUUCGGGUUGUAAAGCACUUUCAGCGGGGAGGAAGGCGGUGAGGUUAAUAACCUCAUCGAUUGACGUUACCCGCAGAAGAAGCACCGGCUAACUCCGUGCCAGCAGCCGCGGUAAUACGGAGGGUGCAAGCGUUAAUCGGAAUUACUGGGCGUAAAGCGCACGCAGGCGGUCUGUCAAGUCGGAUGUGAAAUCCCCGGGCUCAACCUGGGAACUGCAUUCGAAACUGGCAGGCUAGAGUCUUGUAGAGGGGGGGUAGAAUUCCAGGUGUAGCGGUGAAAUGCGUAGAGAUCUGGAGGAAUACCGGUGGCGAAGGCGGCCCCCUGGACAAAGACUGACGCUCAGGUGCGAAAGCGUGGGGAGCAAACAGGAUUAGAUACCC
This 757-nucleotide ribosomal RNA is filed under the name Klebsiella sp. SI-shimoga-2B. RNAcentral describes it as "bacterial SSU rRNA". It matches the Rfam family "Bacterial small subunit ribosomal RNA", at positions 40 to 787 of the family's 1533-position model. Lineage: Bacteria; Pseudomonadati; Pseudomonadota; Gammaproteobacteria; Enterobacterales; Enterobacteriaceae. The record is from RNAcentral.